RNAcentral lists this unclassified non-coding RNA (244 nucleotides) under plant metagenome. RNAcentral's name for it is "partial contains small subunit ribosomal RNA, internal transcribed spacer 1, and 5.8S ribosomal RNA". The stretch from base 197 to 244 matches the Rfam family "5.8S ribosomal RNA", at positions 1 to 49 of the family's 154-position model. The record is from RNAcentral.
UUUCCGUUGGUGAACCAGCGGAGGGAUCAUUACAGGACUCGCAAGACUCCUACAACCCUGUGAACUUAACUAUAAGCACGUUGCUUCGGCGGGUGUCUCGGAGGGGGUUCUCCCUCCCCGAGACGCUAAACCCGCCGGCAGCCUACUAUACUCUGUCUCUUUGCGUUGGCAUCUCGAGUACAAUCAAACAAGUUAAAACUUUCAACAACGGAUCUCUUGGUUCUGGCAUCGAUGAAGACGCAGC